GACGAACGCUGGCGGCGUGCCUAAUACAUGCAAGUCGAGCGGACGAAUCGAAAGCUUGCUUUUGAUUCGUUAGCGGCGGACGGGUGAGUAACACGUGGGCAACCUGCCCUGUAGACGGGGAUAACACCGAGAAAUCGGUGCUAAUACCGGAUAACACGAAAUGUCGCAUGACGUUUCGUUGAAAGACGGCGCAAGCUGUCGCUACAGGAUGGGCCCGCGGCGCAUUAGCUAGUUGGUGAGGUAACGGCUCACCAAGGCGACGAUGCGUAGCCGACCGGAGAGGGGGAUCGGCCACACUGGGACUGAGACACGGCCCAGACUCCUACGGGAGGCAGCAGUAGGGAAUCUUCCGCAAUGGACGAAAGUCUGACGGAGCAACGCCGCGUGAGCGAAGAAGGCCUUCGGGUCGUAAAGCUCUGUUGUUAGGGAAGAACAAGUAACGCAGUAACUGGCGUUACCGUGACGGUACCUAACGAGAAAGCCACGGCUAACUACGUG
RNAcentral lists this ribosomal RNA (498 nucleotides) under uncultured bacterium. Its description in RNAcentral is "partial 16S ribosomal RNA". It matches the Rfam family "Bacterial small subunit ribosomal RNA", at positions 28 to 507 of the family's 1533-position model. The record is from RNAcentral.